This 61-nucleotide transfer RNA is filed under the name Acanthogyrus cheni. RNAcentral describes it as "tRNA-Arg". Lineage: Eukaryota; Metazoa; Acanthocephala; Eoacanthocephala; Gyracanthocephala; Quadrigyridae. The record is from RNAcentral.
UAGUAAUUGUCGAAAAUCGUUUAUAAUUUCGGCUUAUAAGUUAGCCUGGUGCUAUUACUCA